GAUGAACGCUGGCGGCGUGCCUAAUACAUGCAAGUCGAGCGAACAGACGAGGAGCUUGCUUCUCUGACGUUAGCGGCGGACGGGUGAGUAACACGUGGAUAACCUACCUAUAAGACUGGGAUAACUUCGGGAAACCGGAGCUAAUACCGGAUAAUAUAUUGAACCGCAUGGUUCAAUAGUGAAAGACGGUUUUGCUGUCACUUAUAGAUGGAUCCGCGCUGCAUUAGCUAGUUGGUAAGGUAACGGCUUACCAAGGCAACGAUGCGUAGCCGACCUGAGAGGGUGAUCGGCCACACUGGAACUGAGACACGGUCCAGACUCCUACGGGAGGCAGCAGUAGGGAAUCUUCCGCAAUGGGCGAAAGCCUGACGGAGCAACGCCGCGUGAGUGAUGAAGGUCUUCGGAUCGUAAAACUCUGUUAUUAGGGAAGAACAAAUAUGUAAGUAACUAUGCACGUCUUGACGGUACCUAAUCAGAAAGCCACGGCUAACUACGUG
Molecule: ribosomal RNA, 497 nt
Filed under: uncultured bacterium
Lineage: Bacteria
Description: partial 16S ribosomal RNA
Rfam family: Bacterial small subunit ribosomal RNA
Source: RNAcentral